GACGAACGCUGGCGGCGUGGAUUAGGCAUGCAAGUCGAACGGUAUCAUCCUUUCGGGGGUGAGAGAGUGGCGAACUGGUGAGUAACACGUAGGUUAUCUACCCUCAAGACGGGGACAACCCAGGGAAACUUGGGCUAAUACCGGAUGUGAGCAACUUUUAGUUGUUUGAAAGGUGGCGUAAGCUGUCGCUUGGGGAUGAGCCUGCGUCCUAUUAGUUAGUUGGUGAGGUAACGGCUCACCUAGGCAAUGAUAGGUAGGCGGCCUUAACGGGUGGUCGCCCACACCUGGGAUUGAGAUACGGCCCAGACUCCUACGGGAGGCAGCAGUCGAGAAUAGUCUACAAUGGUCGGAAGACUGAUAGUGCGACGCCGCGUGAACGAUGAAUCCCUUCGGGGUGUAAAGUUCUUUUAUAUGUGUAGCAGUGCUUCUUAUAUUAACAGUAUGGGGAGAGAGAUAUUAGCAUAUGAAUAAGCAACGGCUAACUCCGUGCCAGCAGCCGCGGUAACUCG
Molecule: ribosomal RNA, 509 nt
Filed under: uncultured bacterium
Lineage: Bacteria
Description: bacterial SSU rRNA
Rfam family: Bacterial small subunit ribosomal RNA
Source: RNAcentral